AGAAUUGAGUAUAGGGGCGAAAGACCAAUCGAACCAUCUAGUAGCUGGUUCCCUCCGAAGUUUCCCUCAGGAUAGCUGGUGCAUUAUAAUAUUAUGUUAAAUAAUCUUAUCUGGUAAAGCGAAUGAUUAGAGGCCUUAGGGUCGAAACGACCUUAACCUAUUCUCAAACUUUAAAUGGGUAAGAACCUCACCUUUCUUGAUAUGAAGGUUGAGGUUAUGAUAUAAUGUGCCCAGUGGGCCACUUUUGGUAAGCAGAACUGGCGCUGUGGGAUGAACCAAACGUAAUGUUACGGUGCCUAAAUUAACAACUCAUGCAGAUACCAUGAAAGGCGUUGGUUGCUUAAAACAGCAGGACGGUGGACAUGGAAGUCGUAAUCCGCUAAGGAGUGUGUAACAACUCACCUGCCGAAGCAACUAGCCCUUAAAAUGGAUGGCGCUUAAGUUGUAUACCUAUACAUUACCGCUAAAGUAGAUGAUUUAUAAUACAAUUUCGAUUGAAUUAUAAAUUUUGAAACUUUAGUGAGUAGGAGGGUACAAUGGUGUGCUUAGAAGUGUUUGGCGUAAGCCUGCAUGGAGCCGCUAUUGGUACAGAUCUUGGUGGUAGUAGCAAAUAAUCGAAUGAGACCUUGGAGGACUGAAGUGGAGAAGGGUUUCGUGUGAACAGUGGUUGAUCACGAGUUAGUCGGUCCUAAGUUCAAGGCGAAAGCCGAAAAUUUUCAAGUUUUAAUGC
RNAcentral lists this ribosomal RNA (730 nucleotides) under Tephritis conura. RNAcentral's name for it is "partial large subunit ribosomal RNA". It matches the Rfam family "Eukaryotic large subunit ribosomal RNA", at positions 907 to 1588 of the family's 3401-position model. Lineage: Eukaryota; Metazoa; Arthropoda; Insecta; Diptera; Tephritidae. The record is from RNAcentral.